Molecule: long non-coding RNA, 4973 nt
Organism: Suricata suricatta (meerkat)
Lineage: Eukaryota; Metazoa; Chordata; Mammalia; Carnivora; Herpestidae
Exons: 3
Source: RefSeq, a predicted model, not a curated record
UUCUAGACUUGGGAAUAGCGCCGAAGCCCUUGGCUGUGCCCUCCGUCCUACCGGGCGCUCCUGCCUGCGGCUCUCGCAGUCCUGCUGGCCCUCCAUUCUCCUCUCCGGACCCCCUCCCCCUGGCCCCUGGGAGUGCCGCCUUCCCCAGCUGCAGCCUCGGCUCGUGGUUCGCUCUGAGACACCGUUUCUGCAGCCUCUCUGAGCCUCGGCCAUCGGCCCUGGCGACUCACCGGAGUGAUUCCCUGGGUCUAAGAAGGAACUCCACAUCCGCCCCCAAGCCCGGUCUCUUCCCGAGUGCCCUGCUUUGGUGGCUAAGUCAGUCACCCCAUGCCUGCUCUCCCUACCCCCGUCCACAUCUCACUUGGCCCCACACCUCAUCGGGUGACCUUCAGAGGCUUCUGGGCCCCAGGGACGGUCAGGCACUCAGCUGCACCACUGGUCUGUUCCGCGGCACCAGCAUCUGGGCUCUGCUUACCCUUAGUCUCUGCAGCCAGAGCACGGCCAUUUUUGAAAGGCACAUUUCUCCUCCCGGAGCUCCAGGCUGGGUGGGGAGCCAGCACCUAAGCCCCCUCCCCCCUGCACCCCUCUGCCUCUACUGGCUCAAAGGCCCCCUUCCUCUGCCCCUUCUCUUCCAGCCGCUUCCAGCUCUCCUUUGGACCCAUAUGCCUCAAGGCCUUGGUUGUCCGUCGCUUCCAGGGUCGGGACCACUUGGGUAUAUCCAGACCCUGCCCCAGCACUGCCUCUCUGAGCAGCUAAGAGCCCAGAGUGGCCCCACAUCACCCACUCAUCUCUGGAGCACAGGCCAGUGGCUGUGUGACCCUUCACGGACUACUGGAUGGCCCUUACACUGCCCCCGUCACCAGGAUGGUACACACCUGCCUUGCACGGGCUCUGAGGUGGCCCUGGCACAGCCCGGGCGAAUGGAUGGCCCUGCCUGCACCAGGCUGACUGUCUCCCUCCUGUGUCUACCUCCCGGCUUCCAUGCCCAGGGGGCCACUCUUACUGUCUAGGAGUAAGUGUGUGAGCAGAGCAGGCCGGUGAGGUGGCCGCUGGACCACUCCAGUGACCGCAGGCAGUGCAGGCUGGGAGUGUCCCAGCGGACCCUGGGCCAGACGGGUCUGAGACAGGGACCUGCGGGGCCCCCAGGCCUGGGACUGGAGCUCACCUUGACCUCAUCUGUAAUCAUCAUGGCGUCCCGGGACAUGACCGUCAUGUCUGACAGUUCCGAGCAAUAGUCACCCACGAGAUUCUGUAGCUUGUCCAGCCCCGUGGGGUAGCCUGCGAGUUUCUGCAUCGAAAGGGGUGAGAGCAGGUGGGCACAGAAACUGACGGCCCAGGGGCUCCACCGGAUGCUGCCCCUCAUGCCUUACCCCUACGGUGCGGGCCCUGAGGACACUGGAGGGUCCGCCUGUGGCCCUAGCCCCCACCAGGCACAGAGCAGGGGGAGGCAUUGUUUCAGGAGGGCAGACAGCAUUUUCCUGGCGGGCCCUCCCACUGCCCAGGAGCAGACCCGCAGAUGUACCGCCAAGGAGGGUGUCAUGGGACCGUUGAACUGUGUGAGUGGUGACUGUGCCCCACCCGGGGAGCCUGCUGCUGGGGAGUGGCUGCUGUCUGAAGUGUAGCAGAGAGGCUCCAAACACGGACGUGGGGUCAGAGACUAGGGCUCAAGGCCGAGGCUGCCCUGACCAGCGGGCUAGGGGAACUUGGGAAAGCCACUUAACUUCUGAGCGUGCCCCGUGUUACGCUGGCUCUUUCACGAGGCUGCUGUCAGAAUCUAUAGGUAAUGAGGCAUUAAGCUCAGCGCCAGGCCGAUAAACAUCUAAUACAUCUUGACCCUUACUCGUUUGUUGUUAAUAACAACAAUGUAGAAUUUUGUUAGUUUUUAAAAAAAUAUAGAUGGCCCUGGGGGUUAUUUUUUAAAAAUACAUAUGGUCUGAAAAGAACAUGCCCCUGGGGGACAUAAUUGCUCAAAGGAAGGAGGGCUGGACCCCAGGAAAUAGCCGGAGUGGGGUGUUGGGCCCAGGAAGAUGAGGUGGACAGGGCCUUGGCUGAGGCAAGAGGGACAGGCCAGAGGACCAUGACACCUGCCUGUGCAGCUCUGGGCGGAGCCUGGGGGCCUGUGACUGCAGCCAGGAAGAGCGGCAGCGUCUGCCCACCCCGCCACAUCUCCACCUGUCACCUGGCCGGCUGCACUGCCCUCCAGGGCCCCCCCGUCCCAGCCUCGGGUGAGGGAGUGCGGACAACCCCCUCACUUCCCUGUCCCCUCCCCCUCGCAGCCCUAGGGCCCCCGCCGUCCAGCCCGCCCCUCUUCUGGUCCUCUUCCUUCCCACGAAGAGGCCUUCGGGGCCCCUGGGGGCCUCCUCCAGGCCUCCCCUGCUGGGGGCCGGGCGGGUGGCUCAGAAGAGCUGGGCAGCAAGCUCCAGGGUCCUGGCCUGCUCAGAGGUGACCUGUCCUCUAUGAUGAGGGACUUUCUGGAGGCUCAGGUGCCAUCUUUUGCCCUCAGAGGCUGUGCAGCGAUAAAGGAUGCGGCAAGGUUCACAGUGCCCCUGCUCAGCUGGGGACCAAAACAGGGCUCUGUCCCUGGGGAAAACCAGCAUGGAGGAGAGUUGCAGCCUCUGCCCCGUUGGUGGGAAUGGGAGCCAUGGCCCUGCCCGGGAGGCUCUGGUUCCCACUGAGACCCUAGCCCUGCUUGUAGGCUGGGGCCUGACGCUCCCGCCUGCCUGGCCAGGUGGCUUCCCUGGGCUGGGGUGUCGGGUGAGGACGCUCACUUUCUUCAGAUAAUCCAACAGGUCCACGUAUAGCAGGUAAAUGUUCUGACUGGUGGUGAUCUUGACCAUGGUCUUUUCAAUGUUAUUCUCCAGCUGGCGGAUGACCUGGGGGUAGCCCGAGGGCACCCAGUGCUUAGGGACAGACCCCUUGGACGCCCACCAGGAGGUGACCCGGCAGGCUGCACUUUCUUCCAGGGAGGGUCUGUGUCUAUGGCUUUCUCCUAGCCCCGCCCCUCAACAGAGUCCCAUCCCUCACUCCCGGGGCCCCGCCUCCCGGAGAAGCUUCGCCCCGCCCGCCGAGGCCCCGCCCGCCCGCCACCUGCUGCAGGCGCCGCUCCUCCUUGGAGGCGUCGGGCUGGCUCUGCAAACCGGCCAGCUCCUGCUGCAGGCUCUCCAGCUUCUCACCCCGCCGCCGCACCAGGUGGAUCAGCGCGUUGUGCGCGUUCACGCGGUCGUAGACGUACUUGCGCAGCUUCUCCCGCGCCAUCUGGGUCGGGGAGGGCACGGCCCGCUUGUGGGUGCGCAGGGAGCCGCGGGGACUCCCAAGGCUGGCGGGGAGGGAUUGGGAUCUCGCUCUGCCCCCCACCCGCUCCAACGUUGUUUGCACUGGCUGGGCGAGGCUGAGGGGUCCCUCCUGUGCCACCUUACCUCCAUGGAGCAGCCGCAGUGCGCCAACCUCAUGGACGUGUCCUUCCCGCAGGCCUUGGAGAUGAUCCGCUGGUCGUACUGCGGAGCGGUGGCGGCUGAGCUGAGGCCCCGGUCUCUCUGCGUACGCCCAGCCGCCAGUCCCUCCAGGCAUUGUCCCCGGGCCUCUCUACCCUGUGUUAGCCCAACAGCGAGGGCCCGUCCAGGCCAUUCCAGCUCAGAAGUGAUGGGAGUCGGAAGAAGGCCCAGGUCUCCCUGCACGGCCAGAGAGCCAGAGAGGCCCCUGCCGCAGGGGGAGCCCAGAGAAAGGAUCCCAGUCAGGCCCACUCUGCCAUCUGGGGUGGGCGGUGGGGAACCUGCCCAUCAGGCUUGCUGGAGUGACUGGAGCCAGGGGAACAGGUUGGGGAGCCCCUUCCCAAGAUGCCCCUGGUUCCUGAAAGGUAAGAUCGGGCAAAGGCAAAGGCGGAUGUCCUUUCGGCCCACCUGUGCGUGGGCCUGUUUCAGCAGCCGCAGUCAGUCUGCCCCCAGCCGCAGUCAGCAGGGAGCGGGGAGCAGGGCCCCUCACCUUCUUGGCCAAAGCCCAGUCCUGGGCCCCUUGGCGGAUGUUGCGGCGGAGGAGAGCCAGCGUGGCUCUGUUCUUGACCGUCUUCUCCUUCACCGCCUGGAUCUGCAGUGCCCGGCAUUGCUCUGGGGGUGGAGGGGUGGGCACGAAGGUGCUGCCGCCACAGCUGUGCUCCUUCCUGCCCUAGCCUGGGGGCACGGGCUUCCCUGCCCUGCAGUGCUCAUCUGGAUGGCUCAGCGAUGGCCGUGCUGGACAGUGGGGAAGGCCACCCCAAGCUCGGAUUCCACACCCAGGGUGACCUGGCUCACGAGACCCCUGCCUCAGCCCUGACUACCCCAGCUCUCCGUGACCUUCACCUGCUGCCUGGAGCCCGCCCUGCUCCGCCUCCACUUUCCUGGGGCGAUUCCUGGGUCUGGUUUAGAAGCCGCCUCCCCCCGCGGGGGUGUGCGCAGCCCAGGCUGCCCUAGGGUUAUGGCCUGAACACCUGACAGCCGGGAUUCGAGGUCGCACACGGGACAGGCUGCUCUCCCGGCCGCGCGGCGUGGAUUAGCCGGGGCUGCGGCAGCCGAGUGCCCCCACCAGGAGGCGUGUUCGCAGAGCUGGCUCCUCCUGAGCUUACAGAUGGCCACCUCACUGUGUCCCCACAUGGCCACCCCUGUGUGCGUGUCUGUGUCCUCCUCUCCUAACAGGGACAUGGGCCUGAGGGGAUCAGGGCCCAGCUCGUUUUAACACAAUCAUUUCUUUAAAGCCUUAUCUCCAAAUGCAGUCAUAUUCUGAGGUCCCGGGUGUGAGAGGUGCAACAUGUAAAUUUGGGGACACCACUCAUAACAAUGGCCUUCACCCAGAUGCUGUCACAUGUAGGACCUCCACAACCUUACACACACCGUUUUGGCUUUUGGUCAUUGCCAGUUUUUAAAAGGUGAGUCCAGGGGCACCUGGGUGGCCCAGUCAGUUGAGUGUCUGACUUCAGUUCAGGUCACCAUCGUGGUCCAUGAGUU